RNAcentral lists this transfer RNA (65 nucleotides) under Denticeps clupeoides (denticle herring). RNAcentral's name for it is "tRNA-Cys". Lineage: Eukaryota; Metazoa; Chordata; Actinopteri; Clupeiformes; Denticipitidae. The record is from RNAcentral.
AGCCUUGUGGUGUAAUCAUGUUGGAUUGCAAAUCCAAAGAAGUGACUUGGUCGUCGCCGGGGCUU